UGAGUCACAUUGGUCCUCCAUAGACAGAGC
This 30-nucleotide non-coding RNA is filed under the name Mus musculus (house mouse). The record is from RNAcentral. Lineage: Eukaryota; Metazoa; Chordata; Mammalia; Rodentia; Muridae.